Molecule: long non-coding RNA, 426 nt
Filed under: Vigna radiata
Lineage: Eukaryota; Viridiplantae; Streptophyta; Magnoliopsida; Fabales; Fabaceae
Description: long non-coding RNA (VRAD_LNC000607)
Source: RNAcentral
UUUUAGUUGCCUUAGCAAGCAAAUUUUCAAGUAUAUCAAUAUCAAACAUAUAACUUUUGCAUGAUAAGCAUUCAACAGGUUCAAUAGUAGCAUUUGCAUCUGAUAAUUUAAUUUCUAAGGUAUUAACUCUAUUUCUUAACACAACUUCAUCAUCAAGCAGUUUAUCAUAUUUUAACUUUAAUUCAUUAUGUUCCUUUCUUAAUUUUUUAUGAGCGGCAUCAAGUUUUUCAGAUUCAUUCAUCAAAUCAAAGAAAGCCUUUUGUAAAUCUAAUUCACUGGAUUCAAAACUGGAGUCACUUACUUGGCUUCCUGUAUCUUCAGAAUCUGCCAUAAGGCAUAGGUUGGCUUCUUCUUCUGUGUCACUUGAGCUUGUUGAACUAGAAGCAUUAUCCUCCCAAGCUAUGUAUGCUUUCUUUUUCCUUUGAA